Herpailurus yagouaroundi (jaguarundi) is the source of this 1806-nucleotide long non-coding RNA. RefSeq lists it as uncharacterized. The transcript is spliced from 7 exons. The record is from RefSeq and is a predicted model, not a curated record. Lineage: Eukaryota; Metazoa; Chordata; Mammalia; Carnivora; Felidae.
CUUUCAGGCCCGCGGUCCCUACUUUGAAUAGCUCUAGAGUCUGAUUAAGGCGCCCACACUCGGAUCUCUGACCCGCACAAAUAGCCGACCGCCCACCCCCUCACGGGCUGGGCCGGGAGUCGGGGUUCAGGCCGAGAGGGGUGAAAGUCUCCCAGGACUUUUCACUGCGCGCUUGAGAGGGGGCGCGGUCCUCGCCGGCCCAGUCCCGACGGCGGGUCGAAGGUCACGGGCGGAGAGGCCCGAGCCGCGCAGCCCCGAGUCUCCGACCGCAGCUCAGGAUCCGGGCGCCGGGCUGCCGCGUGCUUGGCGGGCGCACGGAGCGCUCGGACCGCCGCACCCCGCGCCCCGCGCCGGGCCCACCCGCUCCCUGGAGACGCGAGCGCCAUCGGCCGCCCACGGACUUCUCUGAGCCUUUAGAGAGAAUGUAUCAUACGGCAUUUCCCAGGUUGUCCACAGAAACCCCCUCUCCUCCUCCCUAAACUUCAAGUAAGAAGCAAGCCUAGUGCCUUGGACCUUUAACAACCCUAGUCCUACAUUACAGCAAGGAAACAUCAUCCAGGAAGGACACUGUGUUCUGGAACCCAGGUCUCCAACCCCAGGAGGAAGGGGGAAGAAGGAAGAAACCGUACUUAGGUUGAUCAGAACCCAAAAAUCCAGUCAUCACUGGGUGCCCUUGACAGUCUUGCUUUGUUCUCCCCGGGAAGGUUUGGGGGUCUGUUCUGAGACAGCAAUCACCAACUAUGACCUGUUGGGUUUCGAGGCUGCUCCCUAGGAAUGUCCAUUCCUUGGGUACAUCAUCCAAGAACCAGAGAGUUGAGGAUUGUCAUCGACACCAUGAGGCCUAUGGGUACUUCUUACCCAUCCAAACGAGGUGGCAGGACAAUGACCAGUAUGGUCAGGUGAACAAUGCCGUGUACUACAGCUACUUUGACACUAUUGUCAGCCACUACCUGAUCAGAAUCGUGAGGAAGAAAUAUGGAUCUCUUCCCAACCGCUCUUCCCUCGACAAUAUGAAGAUGCAUCUUGGAAGGAGCUUCCAUCAGCUACAGGUCACACUCCCUGACUCUUAGGAGGGUUACGUGACAUGGCCCACACAAAGCACCAACUGGCACAGCGCCCGUGUGUAAUAAGGACUCAAUAGGUGGCGGCUAUUAUAAGAGGAAAGCUGUUGGAACUUCAGUCAUCAUGGCAGCAAGCAGGAGGAAGGCAGGAGGGACAGGUGGGCUGAAUUUCUAGGGGAAUGCACUUCCUCAAAGAGUCUUCCUGGGAGCCCCACACAGCACUUCUGUAUCCCUGUCGUUGGGCAACACUAAGUCUCAGGGCCACAGCAUCUGCAAGGGAGGCUGGAAAACGCAGUCAUUUAGCUGAGUGAUUGUCACCCAGGAUAACAUUGGGGUUAUUUUACCAAAGAAGGGAAGAAUGGGUGCUGGGUAGCAAUCAGUCUUAGCCAGGUAAGAUCAUAGUUUCUUUCAUAAAACCCGGGAUCGUAUUUGUAAUAAAGCGUGGGAUUAGCCGUAAAGCUGUAUGAUCAGCUUUUAAAAAAUAAUUAAAAAUAUAACUCCUAUUGUCUUUUUCUUUUUACAAAAGCAACACAAUUUUAUUGUUAGAAAAUUUUAAAUUGCAGAUGAGUGAAAAACUUAUAACAAAAAGGCACCGUGACUCUAUUAUAUAGUGAUAACUGCUUGUGAACAUCUUGGUAAAUAGCCUUCCAGAAAUUUUUGUUUUCAUUCACAUACAUAUAUUUUUAGUUUUAUUUUUUUCUUUUAUUUUUUAACAUGAGUUCACUUUUGAGAGACAGAGAGAGAC